This 380-nucleotide ribosomal RNA is filed under the name uncultured eukaryote. RNAcentral's name for it is "partial 18S ribosomal RNA". It matches the Rfam family "Eukaryotic small subunit ribosomal RNA", at positions 592 to 976 of the family's 1831-position model. The record is from RNAcentral.
CAAUAGCGUAUAUUAAAGUUGUUGCAGUUAGAACGCUCGUAGUCGGAUUUCGGGGCGGUCCGACCGGUCUGCCGAUGGGUACGCACUGGUCGGAGCGUCCUUUUUGCCGGAGACCGUGCCUACUCUUAACUGAGCGGGGGCGGGAGACGGCACUUUUACUUUGAAAAAAUCAGAGUGUUUCAAGCAGGCAGCUCGCUCUUGCAUGGAUUAGCAUGGGAUAAUGAAAUAGGACUUUGGUGCUAUUUUGUUGGUUUCGAACACCGAAGUAAUGAUGAGAAGGGACAGUCAGGGGCACUCGUAUUCCGCCGAGAGAGGUGAAAUUCUCAGACCAGCAGAAGACGAACCACUGCGAAAGCAUUUGCCAGGGAUGUUUUCACUGA